RNAcentral lists this ribosomal RNA (332 nucleotides) under uncultured bacterium. Its description in RNAcentral is "bacterial SSU rRNA". It matches the Rfam family "Bacterial small subunit ribosomal RNA", at positions 568 to 898 of the family's 1533-position model. The record is from RNAcentral.
CGCGUAGGCGGGAUGGCAAGUCGGUCGUGAAAUCCCUCGGCUCAACUGAGGAACGUCGAUCGAAACUGCCGUUCUUGAGGGUUGCAGAGGAGACUGGAAUUCCCGGUGUAGCGGUGAAAUGUGUAGAGAUCGGGAGGAACACCGGUGGCGAAGGCGGGUCUCUGGGCAAUUCCUGACGCUGAGGCGCGAAAGCGUGGGGAGCAAACGGGAUUAGAUACCCCGGUAGUCCACGCUGUAAACGAUGACGACUAGGUGUGGGGGGGUUCAGUCCCUUCCGUGCCGCAGCUAACGCAUUAAGUCGUCCGCCUGGGGAGUACGGCCGCAAGGUUGAA